RNAcentral lists this transfer RNA (70 nucleotides) under Caystrus obscurus. RNAcentral describes it as "tRNA-Gln". The record is from RNAcentral. Lineage: Eukaryota; Metazoa; Arthropoda; Insecta; Hemiptera; Pentatomidae.
UAUAUAAGGGUGUAUGAUUGCACUAAAAGUUUUGAUCUUUUAAGUUAUGGUUUAAUCCCAUAUUAUAUAA